UACGUAGGGUGCGAGCGUUGCCCGGAUUUAUUGGGCGUAAAGGGCGCGUAGGCGGCCACGCACGUCCGUUGUGAAAUCGCCCGGCUCAACUGGGCGGGGUCGGCGGAUACGGCGUGGCUGGAGCAAGCUAGGGGGCAAUGGAAUUCCCGGUGUAGUGGUGGAAUGCGUAGAUAUGCGGAGGAACACCGAUGGCGAAGGCAAUCCCCUGGGCCUGCACUGACGCUCAUGCACGAAAGCGUGGGGAGCAAACAGG
This 253-nucleotide ribosomal RNA is filed under the name uncultured bacterium. RNAcentral's name for it is "partial 16S ribosomal RNA". It matches the Rfam family "Bacterial small subunit ribosomal RNA", at positions 524 to 776 of the family's 1533-position model. The record is from RNAcentral.